GCCCAGAUGGCGGAAUUGGUAGACGCGCUAGUUUCAGGUACUAGUAUCGCAAGAUGUGGAGAUUCGAGUUCUCUUCUGGGCACCA
RNAcentral lists this transfer RNA (85 nucleotides) under Methylophilus sp. Its description in RNAcentral is "tRNA-Leu". It matches the Rfam family "tRNA". Rfam says of the family: Transfer RNA (tRNA) molecules are approximately 80 nucleotides in length. Their secondary structure includes four short double-helical elements and three loops (D, anti-codon, and T loops). Lineage: Bacteria; Pseudomonadati; Pseudomonadota; Betaproteobacteria; Nitrosomonadales; Methylophilaceae. RNAcentral also lists the same sequence under 1 other name. The record is from RNAcentral.